This 307-nucleotide long non-coding RNA is filed under the name Sus scrofa (pig). RNAcentral's name for it is "lncRNA (ENSSSCG00025046419.1, ENSSSCG00035009906.1)". Lineage: Eukaryota; Metazoa; Chordata; Mammalia; Artiodactyla; Suidae. The record is from RNAcentral.
CUGUGGUGUAGGUUGCAGACGUGGCUUGGAUCCCAUGUUGCUGUGUCUGGCAUAGGCUGGUGACUGCAGCUCCGAUUUGAGCCCUAGCCUGGGAACCUCCAUAUGCUGUGGGUACAGCCCUAAAAAGCAAAAACAAACAAACAAACAAAAAAGCUACUGUGCAGACACCUCUGCCUUUGUGCUAUUCCAGGGGAAACCUCCACUCACUGUGAACACGUUUAAAAGAUAUAAUCAGGGGAGCCAAGAUGGAAAUGGGCAAAAUGGUUGUCUUGAACCUUUUGCCAGAAGGUAUUUCCACCUUUCCUGG